UGUAACAUAUCGCUUAUCCUAUGAUUAUCGCAAAUAUUUCUAACAAGAAACAGCUCGAAAGUCAUAAUUCAUAAGGACCGUGCUCACCGAACAAUAUAAAAAUCUGAGAGUGUCCUGUUCGCAAGAGCAAAGUUAAAGGAUGCUUAAUAAAUAAAUUGAGUUAGUUCCUAACCUGUUAUUUCGAUGUUCUUACACUCCAGCUGAUACAUGAUGGGAAUGUAAUCUGCAUAAUCAAAGUUUAAGCAAUUUUAUUAUUGUGACAUUGACCAGCUGAGCACCACGGAAGAAAACUAGCAUCCAUUUCAGAAACUAGCUUGCCAGUACUUUCCCAAGUCCAUCUCCAGAGUGGCUUAUCAUUGAAUGUCGACAAUUUACAUCGGCCAUCAGUCCAGAUAUGCCACAGUUCUACAAUUAUCAAAUAGUUUUUAUGAUAUAUUAUUCAGUGAGAAAUCAAGAUAUCACUUUCAUUUAAUGCAUGCAUAAUAUUCUUUUAUAUUGUUCUUGAUAUUCGUUACCUUGCCUUUUCUAUUAUCUUCC
Long non-coding RNA from Cataglyphis hispanica, 537 nucleotides. RefSeq lists it as uncharacterized. The record is from RefSeq and is a predicted model, not a curated record. The transcript is spliced from 3 exons. Lineage: Eukaryota; Metazoa; Arthropoda; Insecta; Hymenoptera; Formicidae.